Molecule: ribosomal RNA, 443 nt
Filed under: uncultured bacterium
Lineage: Bacteria
Description: partial 16S ribosomal RNA
Rfam family: Bacterial small subunit ribosomal RNA
Source: RNAcentral
CCUACGGGUGGCAGCAGUGGGGAAUAUUGGGCAAUGGGCGCAAGCCUGACCCAGCAACGCCGCGUGAAGGAAGAAGGCUUUCGGGUUGUAAACUUCUUUUCUCAGGGACGAAGCAAGUGACGGUACCUGAGGAAUAAGCCACGGCUAACUACGUGCCAGCAGCCGCGGUAAUACGUAGGUGGCAAGCGUUAUCCGGAUUUACUGGGUGUAAAGGGCGUGUAGGCGGGACUGCAAGUCAGAUGUGAAAACCACGGGCUCAACCUGUGGCCUGCAUUUGAAACUGGCAGUCUCGAGUUGGAGAGAAGUAUGCGGAAUGCGCGGUGUAGCGGUGAAAUGCAUAGAUAUCGCGCAGAACUCCGAUUGCGAAGGCAGCAUGCCGGCUCCACACUGACGCUGAGGCACGAAAGCGUGGGUAUCGAACAGGAUUAGAUACCCGAGUAGUC